RNAcentral lists this ribosomal RNA (497 nucleotides) under uncultured bacterium. Its description in RNAcentral is "partial 16S ribosomal RNA". It matches the Rfam family "Bacterial small subunit ribosomal RNA", at positions 28 to 507 of the family's 1533-position model. The record is from RNAcentral.
GAUGAACGCUGGCGGCGUGCCUAAUACAUGCAAGUCGAGCGUACGGACGAGAAGCUUGCUUCUCUGAUGUUAGCGGCGGACGGGUGAGUCACACGUGGAUAACCUACCUAUAAGACUGGGAUAACUUCGGGAAACCGUAGCUAAUACCGGAUAAUAUUUUGAACCGCAUGGUUCAAAAGUGAAAGACGUUCUUGCUGUCACUUAUAGAUGGAUCCGCGCUGCAUUAGCUAGUUGGUAAGGUAACGGCUUACCAAGGCAACGAUGCGUAGCCGACCUGAGAGGAUGAUCGGCCACACUGGAACUGAGACACGGUCCAGACUCCUACGGGAGGCAGCAGUAGGGAAUCUUCCGCAAUGGGCGAAAGCCUGACGGAGCAACGCCGCGUGAGUGAUGAAGGUCUUCGGAUCGUAAAACUCUGUUAGUAGGGAAGAACAUAUGUGUAAGUAACUGUGCACAUCUUGACGGUACCUAAUCAGAAAGCCACGGCUAACUACGUG